This 484-nucleotide ribosomal RNA is filed under the name uncultured bacterium. RNAcentral describes it as "partial 16S ribosomal RNA". It matches the Rfam family "Bacterial small subunit ribosomal RNA", at positions 30 to 507 of the family's 1533-position model. The record is from RNAcentral.
AUUGAACGCUGGCGGCAGGCCUAACACAUGCAAGUCGAGCGGACGAAGGGGGCUUGCUCCUGGAUUCAGCUGCGGACGGGCGGGUAAUGCCCAGGAAUCUGCCUGGUAGAGGGGGAUAACGUCCGGACACGGGCGCGAAUACCGCAUACGAUCUGAUGGUGAACGUGAGGGAUCAUUGGAGCUCACGGGAUCAGAUGAGCCUAGGCCGGAUUAGCUAGUUGGUGAGGUAAAGGCGUACCAAGGCGACGAUCCGUAACUGGUCUGAGAGGAUGAUCAGCCACACUGGAACUGAGACACGGUCCAGACUCCUACGGGAGGCAGCAGUGGGGAAUAUUCCGCAAUGGGCGAAAGCCUGACCCAGCAACGCCGCGUGAGUGAUGAAGGUCUUCGGAUUGUAAAGCUCUUUUAGUUGGGAAGAACAACAGUAUGUUAAUCCAUUGAUGUUUUGACGGUACCAAAAGAAUAAGCCCCGGCUAACUUCGUG